This 75-nucleotide transfer RNA is filed under the name Actinomycetota bacterium. Its description in RNAcentral is "tRNA-Thr". It matches the Rfam family "tRNA". From Rfam's summary of the family: Transfer RNA (tRNA) molecules are approximately 80 nucleotides in length. Their secondary structure includes four short double-helical elements and three loops (D, anti-codon, and T loops). Lineage: Bacteria; Bacillati; Actinomycetota. The record is from RNAcentral.
GCCCGGAUAGCUCAGUGGUAGAGCAACGCUCUCGUAAAGCGUAGGUCGUGGGUUCAAAUCCCACUUCGGGCUCCA